Molecule: ribosomal RNA, 253 nt
Filed under: uncultured bacterium
Lineage: Bacteria
Description: partial 16S ribosomal RNA
Rfam family: Bacterial small subunit ribosomal RNA
Source: RNAcentral
UACGUAGGGUGCGAGCGUUGUCCGGAAUUAUUGGGCGUAAAGGGCUCGUAGGCGGUUUGUCGCGUCGGGAGUGAAAACACACAGCUUAACUGUGUGCUUGCUUCCGAUACGGGCAGACUAGAGGUAUGCAGGGGAGAACGGAAUUCCUGGUGUAGCGGUGAAAUGCGCAGAUAUCAGGAGGAACACCGGUGGCGAAGGCGGGUCUCUGGGCCGAUACUGACGCUGAGGUGCGAAAGCGUGGGGAGCAAACAGG